UAUUAUGAUGGCUGUCUUUGGACUGC
RNAcentral lists this non-coding RNA (26 nucleotides) under Homo sapiens (human). Lineage: Eukaryota; Metazoa; Chordata; Mammalia; Primates; Hominidae. The record is from RNAcentral.